Molecule: long non-coding RNA, 912 nt
Organism: Patella vulgata (common limpet)
Lineage: Eukaryota; Metazoa; Mollusca; Gastropoda; Patellidae
Exons: 4
Source: RefSeq, a predicted model, not a curated record
AUAUUUGUGGACUACAUAACUAGACUUUUUGUGUGGACGAGUUAACUGGCAUUCAUUUUGAAUGAUUACAGUUGUUUUCGGUAAAUUUAAACUGUGGUACACUAUAUUGGUACUUGAAAAAAGGUGAAUUUAUUUCGUCUUUAUUUUUUUUUUCAGAGGUUGUAAAUUAAUAAUCCACCAGUGCGGUAUGUGAAAAAUGUGUCUAGACAAGAUGAUGGUGAGCUUGUGACCCGGAUGGAUGAAUGAUGGAAAGACAAAUAAUAAGUGCUGUAUACAGUAUUUGGUAUAAAUCAGUCAUUGAAAGUCAUUACAGCUGAAGAUUUUAAUGACGCUUUGUACCGGUACUAACAAUGUUGAUUACAGUCAAUGGAAGGUUAAUCAAACCUAUGAAUGUGGUCGAAUAAGGUGUGGAGUUGAUUAAUAGCAACAUUGAAUGUGGGUUGAAUAUGGUGUGUUAAAGAUGCAAGAAAACACACGAAAUGUGUAAACUGUAAUGGAUUAUAGCCUGGCGCUAUCCAAAUUACAAAACACCUGCCCUUGAAUUUGGUGUGAAGCAUUGGAUUCAUGAGAUCACAAACCCCAACGAUAUGCAGCGAUUCGAAGAUAACCUUUUCAAAAAAGCUUGUGAAUGUGAUGAGGCUACAAUGUUUUAAUUUGCCGUGUAGCAUUGGGACCAUGAGAGGACAAAUCCAAUAAAUUUCAGCAAUCCACACUUAACCCACUUUUUUGGAAAUCAUGUGAACGUGAUAAGGCUAGAAUUUUUUUAACAGAUUUUUUUCUAAUUCUAUAUGAAACAUUGGGACAAUGGGUGAUUAGCCUUAUUUAUAUUCCUUAUUCUCUUUUGCAAUAUGUGGGUGUAUCUUAGAUGGCAACCACUUGUUAAUUGUAUCAAUUGUGUUGUAAUAUUUUGAA